This 846-nucleotide ribosomal RNA is filed under the name uncultured soil bacterium. RNAcentral's name for it is "bacterial SSU rRNA". It matches the Rfam family "Bacterial small subunit ribosomal RNA", at positions 26 to 898 of the family's 1533-position model. The record is from RNAcentral.
AGGAUAAACGCUGGCGGCGUGCCUUACGCAUGCAAGUCGAACGGGGUCCUUCGGGGCCCAGUGGCGGACGGGUGAGUAACACGUACGUGACCUGACGCGAAGUGGGGGAUACCCGUCCGAAAGGGCGGCUAAUACCGCAUGUGGUCAUACGGGCUGCCGUAUGAGUAAAGGGAGCAAUCCCGCUUGGUGAGGGGCGUGCGGCCGAUUAGCUAGUUGGCGGGGUAAUGGCCCACCAAGACGAUGAUCGGUAUCCGGCCUGAGAGGGCGCACGGACACACUGGAACUGAAACACGGUCCAGACUCCUACGGGAGGCAGCAGUGGGGAAUUUUGCGCAAUGGGGGAAACCCUGACGCAGCAACGCCGCGUGGAGGAUGAAGUCCCUCGGGACGUAAACUCCUUUCGAUCGGGACGAUUAUGACGGUACCGGAAGAAGAAGCCCCGGCUAACUUCGUGCCAGCAGCCGCGGUAAUACGAGGGGGGCGAGCGUUGUUCGGAAUUAUUGGGCGUAAAGGGUGCGUAGGCGGUUUGGUAAGUCUUGUGUGAAAUCUCCAGGCUCAACUUGGAGUCUGCACGAGAAACUGCCGGGCUUGAGUGUGGGAGAGGUGAGUGGAAUUCCUGGUGUAGCGGUGAAAUGCGUAGAUAUCAGGAGGAACACCUGUGGCGAAAGCGGCUCACUGGACCACAACUGACGCUGAUGCACGAAAGCUAGGGGAGCAAACAGGAUUAGAUACCCUGGUAGUCCUAGCCCUAAACGAUGACUGCUUGGUGUGACGGGUACCCAAUCCCGCCGUGCCGUAGCUAACGCGUUAAGCAGUCCGCCUGGGGAGUACGGUCGCAAGGCUGAA